This 33156-nucleotide long non-coding RNA is filed under the name Solanum tuberosum (potato). RNAcentral describes it as "long non-coding RNA (STUB_LNC002157)". Lineage: Eukaryota; Viridiplantae; Streptophyta; Magnoliopsida; Solanales; Solanaceae. The record is from RNAcentral.
UUUUUUUUUUUUUGCGUUAUGCAGGUGAUGCAGAAGCAUCAGAAAUACUUUGCCAUGACUGAUGAGAAUGGGUUACUGUUGCCAUACUUUGUCACAGUGAGAUCCUUACUAUGUUGUUUCUGUGGCAAAUUGUUACCUGCUUAGCUUAAAGUGAGAUGUUAGCUUGUAAUUGGUAACUUGAUAUGGAUUUAACUUUUCAGGUUGCAAAUGGAUCAAUUGAUAACAAGGUAGUUAGGAAAGGAAAUGAAGCUGUGCUAAGGUUACUAUCCUUUAGUUAGGCUCUUUCCUUCAUAUUUCUAAAGUUUUGGAUCUAGGUGCUACUUGCACUAUUUAUAUUUUACUUGAUCCCUUAUCAGCUUACUUUAUGAUAACUGGUAUAUGCUUAAAGAUGUAAACUGCAUACACAUUGCAGAGCUCGAUUUGAAGAUGCAAAAUUUUUCUAUGCAAUGGACACAAAUAGAAAAUUUUCUGAAUUCCGUACGCAACUGAAAGGGAUUCUUUUCCAUGUAAGUCUUAGAAUUCCAUCUUAACUGUCCUCUUUUUUCCUGUUACGGUUUGACACUUCAAAUUUCUAUAAUACUCUAGCUCUCGUUGGCCUCUCUAAUCGGGGAAUUGUUAUCUAGAGCUAAAUUUAAUUUCAAGUUAAAGAAUUGAAAUCCUUAUUCUGUGUGUAAGUCUUACUGAAUUGAUUGAUAUCAAAUCUAAAAUUAGUCUUUUUGAUGUACAUACCAGCUUUGCGCAAUCAAUGAAAUCUGACUUUUAUUUAAAAUAUAUCAACUAUGAAAUUGUAAUCUCAUAAGGUAUAUGUGACUAGUGCGUCAAGCAAAAUUUCUAUAAAUGGACCUUGACCCUAAUUCAACCCCAAAAGCUAGCUCUAGAGAUGAGGGAUUGCCUAAGCCAUAUAAAGAGACCACCCACUCCAUAAUUGGGCAAUGUGGGGCUCUUCAACACUCCCCAGGCGCCUAGGACUGACAUAACAUCUAGAGCGUGGACAAUUUUUUGGGGGCCCUGCUUCGGAAAACCAAGAAUUGGCCCUGCUCUGAACACCAUGUAAAGAAAUGGACCUUUGACCUAACUUAACCUCAAAAGCUAGUUCAAGAGGUGUGGAUAGCCUAAAGCCCUAAACCAUACAAAGAGACCAUCUCUCCCGUAAGAGCCCUAUGUGACACUCUUCAACAACAAUAAUAGUUUCUCUAAUUCUUGCAAAUUUGUUAGUUCUUAGCCCUUAAUUUCUGCUGAUCUCUAGUAGUUUUCGCUAAACGAUAACGCCUCUGCACAGGAGAAGCUUGGGACUAUGCUAGACAAGAUGACACGAGUUCAGAAUUUGGCUAGUGAAGUUGGGUUGUCUCUUGGAAUAAGUGAAGACAAACUCAAAGUCAUCCAAGAUGCAGCCUCAUUAGCCAUGGCGGAUCUUGCAACUGCAGUUGUUACAGAGUUCACUUCUCUUUCAGGGACAAUGGCACGCCACUAUGCACUAAGAGAUGGCCAUUCAAAGGAGGUAGUGAGAACCAAAUUUUUUAUGGAUACUUUUGUGACUAGUUGAGUAUUCAGUUGUCACUUGAUCCUAGUUUUUUGUUUUUGAUUGUCUUCUAAUUGUAUUUGCUAACUGAUCAUAUGCAUAUUGUGUUUAUUCUAAAUAUUCAUCCCCUUUACAAACCCUUUAUGGCUUUAUCUUAAAAAAUAAAUAAAUUCAUCCCCUUAUAUCUGGUCUGUGAUUUAAUUGCUUUACUAGUACUACUGUAAAAGAGGCGUCUUCCAAAGCACUGGGGAGAUGAGGUUAGGCUGAUCUUUGUUCCUUUUAGCAGGAGUGGUUCUCUUGGAUUUAGCCUUCAAUAAUAUUGAAUUCCGAGGGAAUCAAUAUUUAAUUCGUGUUUUAGCAGGGAAUUAUCAACAUCAGAAGAGUUUUAUUUCAAAGAGAUGGGAAAUUUCGUAGCAAAUAUGUUAGAAUGUUAAGAGAAUUCUUUGUUCUAUCCUUUUGUUUAGAAUACAACAAGAAUUUCUUUUAAAUUGGAAGAAGAGUACAGUAAAGAGGACCAGGUGUUUGCAGGAUAGAGAAAUUAAACUGGGGGCAUGGUGUGCACUCCACUUUUGCUGAAGAUAAGUCAAGCGAAAUUCUGAAAGAGGCCUAUAGCCUUACAGCACAUAGUUGACAAAAGAACGACCAUAUGGUGUUUCAACAACAACAAACCCAGUGUAGUACCAUAAGCAGGGUCUGGGGAGGGUGGAGUGUAGGCAGACCCUUACCCCCUACCUCGAGGAGGUAGAGAGGUUGUUUCUGGAACACCCUUGGCUCGGGUAACGAACAUCAAAGCAGCUAAAAGAGAAAUACAAAAGUAAAGAGGACAUAGAAAAUAAUAGGGAAAAUAUAACAUAAUUCAAAAGAGGAGCAAUAACAAUAACCAACUAAUGUGAUAACUGAAGCACAGUAAAUAACGAGGAGUUUUGGUAGAAGAAAUGUAGAGGAAGAUUGGUGGCAGAGUAUCCCAGCUUGUAUAUGGUGGAUUGUAUGGAAGGAGAGGAACCUUAGACAUUUUGAGAACAAGAUCAAUCCUAUCCAGAAAAUUAGAAUGAACUGCCUCAACCUUCCUUGUUUUUUGAGUAAACAGGAAUCCAGGGGGGGGGGGGGGUAUUGUGGGGGUUAAAGCUNNNNNNNNNNNNNNNNNNNNNNNNNNNNNNNNNNNNNNNNNNNNNNNNNNNNNNNNNNNNNNNNNNNNNNNNNNNNNNNNNNNNNNNNNNNNNNNNNNNNNNNNNNNNNNNNNNNNNNNNNNNNNNNNNNNNNNNNNNNNNNNNNNNNNNNNNNNNNNNNNNNNNNNNNNNNNNNNNNNNNNNNNNNNNNNNNNNNNNNNNNNNNNNNNNNNNNNNNNNNNNNNNNNNNNNNNNNNNNNNNNNNNNNNNNNNNNNNNNNNNNNNNNNNNNNNNNNNNNNNNNNNNNNNNNNNNNNNNNNNNNNNNNNNNNNNNNNNNNNNNNNNNNNNNNNNNNUCAUUAUAAAAGGAGAAAGAAUGAGAAAAAAAAAAGAAGGGGGGGGGGGGGGGGGGGGGUAUUGUAGAGUUUAAAGAUAGUUUGGAAAAUACUAGAUAGACAAAGCACUCCCAUGAUCCUUCUGUGUAUGGUAACAGUUCUCCUCAAUACCUGAUUUGUAGGUUUUAGUCUUUUGUUUGAAUAUGAAAUACAAAAUACCCUUUUCAAAAAAAUAAAAAUAACGAGGAGUAACAAAAUUCGUAAGACAGGUAACUACGAGAAAAAUGCUACUACCACUAGUAUAAACAGGGAAACAGGUACAAUGCACCAACAAACCACCAAGCCUAUCCCGCUAGGAAACGAGAUAAUGCUCAACUUCCUACUAACCUUCUACCCUAAUCUGCGACCUCCAUAACCUUCUACGGAUGCAAUCUUGGUGUAGCUAAUAGGUCCAGAAUUGAGUUAUUGUCCUUGAUAUUUUGUGAAGUUGAAUAUCUACCUUUCUAUAGAUUCCUCCAACUUUCUGUUUAAUGCACCAAAUCUUGGAAUUCUAAAUUUUCAAGCUUUAUGCUUUGAAGACAAUAAAGGAAGGAAUCUGAAAUCAGGAUGUCUUCGUUCCUCCUCUAACUUUCUGUCUAAUGCACAAAAUCUAGAAUUCCAAAUUUUUAGGUUACGCUCUGAAUAUCAUAAUGAAUGAACCAGAAAUCAGGAUGUCUUCAUUCCUCCUUAAUACAUAAAUGUGUCUUCUUCUGUUGGCUUAUAUGUUUGCAUUCACUUGGAUUUAUGCACUCCUGUCACUAGCUUCAUGAGGUAAAGACGUGCAAUAUCGGUUGUUUUUACAGAGAAAGUUGUGAUGUACUUUGUCAAAUACAAGCUUGAUGCAGAAUAUUGCUGAGUGUUUUUUUGAAUAUAUCACUCAAUUACUUUGUAGUACCAAUAUUAUGUAAUACGUCAUACACUUGGCCAAAGGCUGAAGCGAAGGUUUACUAUUUCAAAGAAUUGCUUGCUAUUUAAAUUUAUUGAAACUAAGGUUCACUAUUUCAAAUAACUGCAAGCUAUUUAACUUUGUAUGCAAAUUCUCAUUUUUGAUUAAAAAUAAAUUUUAGUUUCGCAUUUUUGUGAUUUAUUUCAAUGUAUUGAUGUUCUUUUCAUGUUAUCUGACUACAUUAAAUUUUCCUGUAAUGUGCUUUACAGAUUGCAGAGGCAUUGUUUGAGAUCUUACUUCCACGAUUUUCUGGAGAUAUGCUCCCAAAAACUGAAGUUGGGUCUGUUUUGGCUAUUACUGAUAGGUAUGACUAAUGCUUGCUAUCUUUCAGUUUAGGUCUUUUCAGAUGAUCAUUAGGAUUAUGGAAAUGUAAGGUUCAUGACACUCUGUGUCACAUGAAUUGCUUCAAGUGGUCUAAACAAAAUAUGGGACAUCUUUUGUAUUGCAAAUAUUUUUCGAGACUGAGAUCAGCAUUGAAUGAUUCGUUUUUUUUGUUGAUCAAGUAAGGUUUUCAUUGAUAAUAACAAGGCCAUAUUUGCCGUAUACAUGAGUAUACCAAAAAGGAGAGACGUACAAAAUAUGGUCCUCUCCGAAAUGCACCAAAUCCUCUAUACAAACAAGAACUACAUGGGUGCACCAAAGGAAAAUAAGGGGUCGGAGACUACUCCUUAAUUGAGCAAAGCUCAUCUCCACCACUUCAAAAGCUCUCCUAUUUCUCUCUUUCCAAAUGACCCACAUUAGAGCUAGAGGAAUAACAUUCCACGCCUUGUGCCUUCUCCUCACUCCAUUCUUCCAACUGAACAUAAGAGCCCGUUUGGAUUAGCUUAAAAGUUGGUCAAACCUACUUUUAAGUCAGUUUUUGACUUUUGGAAGUGUUUGGCAAAUAUAAAAAAUACUUAAAAUAAGUCAAAAAUGACUUAAAAUAAGUUACGAAGUGUUUGGCAAGGCAAAAAAUGACUUAAAAUAAGUCAAAAAUGACUUAAAAUAAGUCGGAAACCAAAAGUAGGUCUCCCCUUACUUUUUAUAUUUUGACUUAAAAAGUCAUUUCAGUUUGACUUUUUAUUUUUGACUUAAAAGCUACUUUUUUUAAGACAAUCCAAAUGGGCUCUAACUCCUUCACAGAUCUUGGCAUUACCCAAGUGAAGCCAAACCAUGUAAAUAUAUCAUCUCAUAACCUCGAGGCUAAUUUGCAAUGUAACAAAAUAUGAUCCACAUCCUCACCAGUUUCCUUACAUUCAUAUUUGAGACAUGGCAAGGGUUUUGCAUUAUUAACUUAAGGGAGAAAUUUGCAUAUGCAUCGAAAAGUGUUGUACUCAUAAUCAUCUUCUAAUUGGUAGUCUGUUAUCUACUAAACCAGAUUAGCCUUAGCUUGAUUUCGUGUCAAGGCUUGCCUCUAAUAGGCUGUUCUUAGAGAUUAUCUACCACUGAUAGUGCAUGCAAAAUUUGCUUUAUAUUGCAGUGCUGUUACAUGCUUUAACUUGCAUGCACUUCUUAUCUUUGUGAUAUUAUGAUGAAUGUCUUAUCUUGAAUUUUAUUCUCUUGGCAUUGUAGUUGCCAAUUUUUGUCGUCUCUCAGAUAGUGCAUUUCUGCUGCAGGCUUGAUAGCAUUGUUGGCUUAUUUGCUGCUGGCUGUCAGCCAAGCUCAAGUAAUGAUCCAUUUGGCCUGCGACGGAUCUCCUACGGUCUUGUAUGCCUCCAUCUAGAACAACCUGGUUCAUUUGAAGAAUUGUCAAAGUAACACUUGCUUUUGUUUUUCAUAGGUGCAACUCUUGGUUGAAAUUGACAGAAAUGUGGACUUACGACAGGCUUUAGAACUUGCUGCUGCAGUGCAACCCAUUGAAGUUGAUGUCAGUACAAUCAAUGAUGUAAGAUUGCCGCCCAUUGCUUAGUUAGUUUAGAUGAUUACAGUAGUAGCGACUUGAUUCUGUCUCCGUUGGUCUGGGUUAUAUAGAAGGGUAAGUAUGCCCCCUUUCAGCUGCCUGUUCAUACUACCUCUGUUGAAAUAAAGGAUAAAAUCCACCAGCCGCAGUACAUCCUGUAGGCUGUAUAAUUUAAUAUGCUGUGUACUACUCCCUCCGUCCCAUAUUACUUGUCACAUUUCCCCAACUAGAAAUGGUGAAUUGCCCCAGAAUCAAUGCAGAUAAUAGGUCCACGUUGGAGGCUCCUUUUGAACCAUAAGAAAUUCUAGAAAUCAUCAAGGCAUGUGCUAGGGAUAAAGCCCCGGCCCAGAUGGUUAUUCAAUGGAAUUCUUCAAACAAUGUUGGGAUGUCAUCAACUCAGACUUGGUUGGAGCAAUUCAAAACUUUCAUGAGAAAUUUUUCUUUGAAAAGAGUUUGAAUGCAACCUUUGUAGCCUUCAUCCCAAAGAAAGUGGGUGCUGAGGAACUAAAAGACUUUAGACCCAUUAGUCUUAUUGGGGGAGUGUACAAGAUCAUUGCAAAGCUUCUAGCAGAAAGACUCAAGAAGGUGAUACAUAGUCUAGUGGAUAGACAACAAAUGGCUUUUAUCAAGGGUAGGCAAAUUAUGGAUGCUGUUUUGAUAGCCAAUGAAUGUAUAGAGUCCAGACAGAGGAGCAAUAAGCCAGGAAUUGUAUGCAAGUUGGAUAUACAGAAAGCUUAUGACUUUCUAAACUGGGACUUUCUCACCCGAAUGCUGGAAACGAUGGAUAAAGCAUUGUAUUGGCACUGUCAGGUUCUCUAUACUUGUUAAUAGAGUGAAGAGGCCUGAGACAGGGGGACCCUCUUUCCCCCUUUUUAUUCAUCUUAGCUAUGAAAGGAAUGAAUAACCAAAUCAAUACAGCAAAGAGGAAGGGGUGGAUCGAGGGGUUCCAAGCAGGAGAACUAUCUAAUUUGGAGAUAACUCAUCUACAAUAUGCAGAUGACACAUUGGUGUUUUGUGAAGUAGAGGCAAAACAAAUUCUGAUAUUGAGGGUUAUUUUUGUCAUUUUUGAAGUUGUCUCUGGUCUCCACAUAAAUUGGGGGAAAAGCUUCAUCUAUCCUAUCAACAGUGUGAUUAAUAUAGAUGUUUUGGCCAGUAAACUAGGAGGCAAGGUUGGGAGCUAAAAGCAAAUCCAAAGGCAUAUGGAAUGGGGUCCUGGAGAAAUGUGAAAAGAGACUUACUAACUGGAAUAGCCAGUACUUGUCCUUGGGAGGAAGAUGGACUUUAAUCAACAGUGUGAUGGAUGCAUUACCCUCUUAUAUGAUGUCUAUAUUUCCUAAUGCAUCUAAGAGCAUUCAUGCCUUUAGAAGGAAUUUCCUAUGGCAAGGCAGUGAAGAUAAGAAGUUCCAUUUAGUUAAAUGGGAGGAACUGACCGUGAGUAAGAAUAUAGGAGGUAUAGGCAUCAAGAACAUGAGGAAACAAAAUUAGAGCCUAAUGAUGAAGUGGUUGUGGAAGUUUGCAAAUGAAUAUCACAUGCUCUGGAAAGAAAUCAUCACAGCAAAAUAUGGUAUGGAAGAUAAGUGGAUGACUAAAAUGGUAAGUACUCCAUAUAAAUGCGCUGUUUGGAGGGAAACAAAAAUUUAUGGCCAGUGCUAUAUCAUAGAACCAGGGUAGAAGUGGGAGAUGGUUUAAAGACAUCCUUCUGGGAGGACAAAUGGAAUGGGCAGUUCCUAUGAAACAAUUGCAUCCUGAAUUGUCUAUUUUAUGCCAACAUCAACAGGUCACUGUGGCUACAAUGUGGACUGGCAAAGAUGGAAUUUGUUCCUAAGGAGGAACCUUCAUGACUGGGAAAUAGACAAAGUGACAGAUUUCAAGAUUCAGUAGCCUCAUCCAACGACCUCGCUGAAAAGGACUUGCUGAUUUGGAAGAAUGACACCAAAGGUCAAUUCUUAGUAAAUUCUAUGUAUAAGGAACUUAACAAGAAUGCAGGACAGGAGACAGAUUGGCCAUGGAAGAUGAUCUGGAAACCAAAGGCACCCUACAAAGUAAACUGCUUCAUGUGGUUUUUGACAAAAGAAGCAGUUUUGACUCAUAAAAUUUUUAACAAAAGAGGAUAUCAGUUGACCUCUAGAUGUACUUUAUGUGGAGCUAAGUUGCUCGGACUCGGAUGCGGAUCUGCAUGUUGGAUCCUUCUUGAUCUAAUUUUUAAGAUUCGGGGAUAUGGAUCUAGAUACGGAUACGGGUGCGGGGACUCGGCAAAAAAUAUAAUCUAGAAAUAAAGUUAUAUGCAUAAAUAUGAGACAUUAUGGAAAACUUACAUGUAACUUUGUAGAGUACUAGGGUGUAGAAACAAGCAAUUGAAGCUUUUAUUCUCAAUAAUAAAUAUAUAGGCCGGCUGCAAGCAUGUUAAGCUCUCCAAAAGGGCAUGAUUCAUUCAUUUUAAAAUUUGGUUGACUCUUAAAAUUUCACGUGUCACAUAAAUUGAAAGACGGAGAGUAACAAAUAUUAUUGAAAAAUUACGUUAAAUUUUCUAUAAAUCACAAUAUGUAACAAUUUACAACAUUUUAAAAUUAUACAAAAAUUUAGUUGAUUCUCUUAAUUUUAUUUGUGCCACAUAAAUUGAGACAAAAAAAAUAACAAAUGUUGAGUCCGUGCUUGCACCUUGCUCGGAUAUAUAUAUAUAUAUAGCAGCUAAAGUACUAAAAUUCAAUCUAAGAUAAUACAUUUUAUAUAUAAAUAUCUCUCUCUCUCUCUAUAUAUAUAUAUGUAUAUAUAUUACGUGUCAGCUAAAAUGACUAAAAUUCAAUUUAAGAUAAUAAAUUUGUCUCCCUCGUCUUCUACUCUUCUUGAUCUUUGUUCCUCUGCAAUCUGCUUCGUCUUCUCUCCUCCAUCUUCUUCCCAAACAAAUUUCCAAUAUCUGUGUUUUUCCCCAGUUCACGGCACACAAAGUCUAGUAGUCCACCAUGGCAUCACCGAUUUCUCGACAUCUCUAUUCCAAAAUAGAAAUCGUAGUCUUGCAACAACCACAUGACCAAGAAUAUUUACCAAGAAAAAAGCUUCAAAGGAGACAAAAGGAUUAGUAUAUAUUACUAUAUAACAACAGAAUUGAAGGUAUUUGUUUCCGAUCUACUCAAAUCUUUACUUUUAGUUAUCAAAAUUACUAUUUUUUCUCCAAAGUAUUGGUCAACACACCCGAUCUCAUUUGAUCGGAUCCAACACAGAUCCCACACCCUUACCCGUGUCAGUGUCGUGUCGACACGGGUGCGACACCGAAAUUGCCGAGUCCGAGUAACUUAGAUGUGGAGAGCAUGCAGAGACAAUUAACCAUCUUUUUUUGCACUGUACAUGGACAUAACAUUUAUGGAAAAUGUUCAUCUGUCCAAAGGAGAUAAGAUGGGUGAAACCAUGGAAGCAACUAGAAUAGAGAUGACAAUGCUUCAGAUAAGGAGAAGAGAUGAAAACUUGUCCCAUCAUGCAUUUGGUUAACAAUUUGGAAAGAGAGGAACAAUAGGAGUUUUGAGAAUGUGCAGAACAGCUUACAGAAGAUCAAAAUGAAUUGCUUAGCUCUUUUUAAUUUUUGGUGUAAAGAAGAUAUAUUGACUAGGACAGAAGACAUUUUUGAUGUGCUAGAUUGUUUAUAGGCUGCAGUUUAGAUUAAGAUUGUCUCUCUCUGUAAGUUGUAACACUUUUUGAAGGGGAGCUACACUUUUGGUUGUAGUAUACCUGUGGAUAUAUAGACUAAAGCUACCAGUUUCAAAAAAAACAUUACUCGUCACAUUUCCCUUUCACACGCCCUCUAAAACUUCAAAAAUAAGAAGUAUAUUUUUGAGAAAAUACAUUAAAUUACCUUGAACUUGGCAGCCAAACUUACUUUAGCACUUUAAUUUUACGAGCGUUUAUUUACCCCCCCGAUUUCAUUUCAUGUGUUUUUAAUACCACCCAAACAGCUGAGAUGGCCAAAACAGAAGAGAAAAAAAAUUCCCCAUCCACCCUCAAUCACCGCCUGCCCCACCUCCUUUCUCUUACUUCAAAACCCAACCUACCCCCUCUACCUGCUCGUCUCUCCUUUCUCAAACUCCCCACCCUAUCCCUUUUCUCCUUCUUCAAACCCCACACCACACACAAAGUACACUUUUCUCAUUAAACACAUAGGAAUAGAAAAUCACAGAAACUUCAAGAACCACAUAAUUUUCUUUGUUCUUUACUUCUGUGAUUUGAUUUUUCUUAGAAAGUUUUGGAUUUUUUUGAAAAAUAAAGAUUCCCCAUGAAAGAAUAUGAGGUUUUGUCGGGAGAUAUCCGGUGUAAAUGGUUGUGAAAUUCAUUGCAAACUAAUCUGUGUUUCUCUUGAAUUAGUUAAGAAUUAGAACUUGAGUAGUAUAUACAAAAUAUAAGAAUGAGGAACACCGAAGGCCGGCAAUGGCACUAAGUGGCCGACGAGUAAUGCAAGAAAAAUUCAUUGCUAAUGACCUCAAUUUUUCUUAAACUAAUUAGGAAUUAGGAAUUAAUAAGUGUUUAAUAUCAGGAAAAGAAAAAAUCGUGAAAAAAAAGAAAGAAAUGAAUUAAAAAUCAAAAUUUAGAGAAUUUCUAAUGUGGCUCUGACGUUGACGUGGUGCUUAUGUGGUUCUGAUGUGGCGAUGAUGUGGUGCAUCUUGCCAUUGUGAGACUGAUAUUAUAUUCUUAGUGUGGUAUACAUUCACUUCUAACUAGAGUAUGGGGUAAAUAAAUUCCUGUAAACUUAAGGUACUAAAGUACGUUUGCUUGCCAAGUUUGAGGGUGAUUUUUAUGUAUUUUCUAUAUGUUUUACUAAUAUACCCUAAAUUGUACUCUAUUUAUGAGCCUUAUGCAUCAAUACCAAGUAUACCUCAAAAUAAUAAACUCACAUUAAUGAAGUAUUUAGAUCGGUUAAGCAAAAAUUAUUCGCUAGCAUAGAAUAUAUAAGUUGACCCUUUUUGCUAAGUUGGAUUUUUCAUUACACUGACAAUCCUUUACUCCAAAAUCUUUGCUAACUGUUAGUUUUGAAAAAAGUUCAACGUUAAAUAUUUUCAGAGCCAAAGUUUCUGAUGAAUAUAUCAAAUGAUCAGCUUUUAAUUCUUUAACAACCACUUCAACUUCUGUUGGAUCCUCAAUGUUGGAUGAUUAGUUUUUAAUUCUUGCUCCAUCUUUUUUCAUAAUUAUAUUCAUGGGAUUUCCUUUAAGAAUAGUUCUUAUAAUAGAUGCGCAAAUGGUGGGAGUACUAUUAAUGCAUAUGUAAUUCCCUCUUUUGACUAAUUGUUACAGGAAUAAGGUUAACGAAAACUUUUUGAACUAUUCAAAUUUACAAUAUUUCUGCAUUGUGAAGUUUACUUUAUUAAAACAAUUAAUUUUUAGGGCAAUGUGUCAAUAAUUUAUUAAUUCUAUCUUUGUUUUGGAAAUUGACAUUCUGGGAUGGAUAAUUUAAAUAAUGUCGACAAAUAAUAUGGGACCGGGGGGGGGGGGGGGGGGGGAUANNNNNNNNNNNNNNNNNNNNNNNNNNNNNNNNNNNNNNNNNNNNNNNNNNNNNNNNNNNNNNNNNNNNNNNNNNNNNNNNNNNNNNNNNNNNNNNNNNNNNNNNNNNNNNNNNNNNNNNNNNNNNNNNNNNNNNNNNNNNNNNNNNNNNNNNNNNNNNNNNNNNNNNNNNNNNNNNNNNNNNNNNNNNNNNNNNNNNNNNNNNNNNNNNNNNNNNNNNNNNNNNNNNNNNNNNNNNNNNNNNNNNNNNNNNNNNNNNNNNNNNNNNNNNNNNNNNNNNNNNNNNNNNNNNNNNNNNNNNNNNNNNNNNNNNNNNNNNNNNNNNNNNNNNNNNNNNNNNNNNNNNNNNNNNNNNNNNNNNNNNNNNNNNNNNNNNNNNNNNNNNNNNNNNNNNNNNNNNNNNNNNNNNNNNNNNNNNNNNNNNNNNNNNNNNNNNNNNNNNNNNNNNNNNNNNNNNNNNACCAAAAAGCGGGGCCGCGGGGGGGGGGGGAGUAGGAAUAUAAAUUGGUAGUCUUUCGUCCUUUGUUUGCAGUCUUUUCUUAUAUCUUAUUCUUGCAACUUCAGGAAUCAUAAUAUGACAUGAUAUUCUUUUUCUUUUUUCCAUUUAAGGUACAUCAAUUUGUAACGCGCAGACUAGAACAAUUUCUGGUAUGUUCCAUUUUCAUGCACACUAAUACUCUGCUGUUGUUAAUUUGUUCUGCUGGUGUUCUUUUUCUUCUUUCCACAGUUAGUAAUCCUUUUAAAUAUGUCCUUGGUUUCACAGAAAUUGUAUUUGACUUUGCCUCCUCUAGGCUCCAUAUUAUUAUCAUCUUAGUGCAUGAACUAUUUCUAGGUUUCUUUUUUUUUUCAGCAUUUGAAGAUCGUGGGAUAAAUUUUGAUCUCUUCAAUAAAUUCUUUUUAUCAGUUAUCCUUGUAAAGAGGAGUAUGGUCUUUUGCUUAUUGACAGUCUUUAGGACCAUUCUAUUACUCCCCCCUCCAAAAGGAAAGAAAAGAAGACUCUUAAGACAAAUGAUGCUAUAUAAAUUUGAUACAUGUCUGUUGCAUUUCAAUUACAGAUGGACAAAGGUAUAAGCCCAGAAGUCGUUAGGUCUGUUCUUUCCGAGCGUGCAAGACGACCUGGUUUGGCGACUAAGUCAGUGUACAAAGUAACUACCAUCCUUUUCCUUUCUUGUGCACUUAAUUAUUUCUUAUUAUGCUUUGCUGAUACUUUUUCCUCUUUCAUGUCUUAAGCGGCAGUACUUUUCUACUCCAUAUGGCAAUUCAAAAAAAAUUCUUUUAAAAUUUUUAUCAACAAAAGUCAGAAUACCCUAUAUCCAAGAGGCUCACAGCUUAUGAGUGCCCUAUGGAGAAGAGUUCUUCUCUGUCCAAUCUGUUAUGCAUGUUGAAGUAUCAUUGGUCCACUUAAAAUAUAAAAAGUAGGGGAACUCAUAAAUGCACUAGUGAGUGUUUUCUCUUUAAAGCUCCUUUUUUUGUGGAAAAUGGUAAUGUUUACUCUUGAAAGCUCUUUAUUGUUUUCUCCCCAUGUAGUCCACAUAAUCGCUCUAGUGGAAUGUCCUUUUGAAAAAUUGGACGCAAUAGAGAUACACCUGAGUGUCCAGGAGUUUGAUGUUUCCAUGUUAUAUCUGCAAUAUGGUAGUACUCCACUAAAUGAUCAAAUGUUGUCUUCUUCCAAACGACCAUCCCCCUCCCCGUCACUCUCCACUAUUGAGGUUAAGUCUCUAAUUUUAUAAGAACUGACUCUUUUAUACUACCCCGUUGUGUCAGUUUAACUUUGAAGGAAUACUUUAUAGUUUUAAGCAAGUUCUGUAGUACCAAUGUUUCUUAAAAAAAGUUCAUUGGAUUCUGUCACUAAUUAUUCUGAAAACCUAAUCAUGUUAGAAAUACUGUUUUGUGUAUAUUUUAAUUAUUCCUGUUUAGUUAUCAAUACUUGAAUUUACCUCAAAGAGUUUAUGAAUAUUUGCAAUUUGGACUUUGAUAUGUUGUGUUAAAUCAAUGAUUACAACAAGGAGGCUAGAUAAUAUCUUGAGUCAUAUCCAGGACCCUGGAAACAGAUAGGCGCAUGAGAAGUGCUACAUUGGGAGGAGAGGUUGUAUUAUUUUUAACGCUCUUUUUUCGGAAGUUUUCUGUAUGUGCUCGUGGUCAAAGUUAGCUCUUCAGCUGAAUCCAAAUAUAAACAACAACUAUGCUUUAGUGCCAAACAAGUUGCUGAAUUUGAAUAUAGUGUAAAUGAAAUAUAAAUUACAACUCUUCAUCAAGAAUCAUAAAAUAUAACUCAAGAGAUUUGGGGUUUAAUUUUCAAAUUUGUGGCCAAGGGUUGGGAAUGUUUUUGAUUGCUUCUCCUUUUGGUAAGUUAAAUGUCUUGUGUUGUGUCUCAUGUUGAAUGCAUACGGCUGGCUCUGGAGUAGAGCAAUGGGCUAAGUUAGUAUAGAAGUAUUUAUUCGAAUUCAUUGUGAUGUUUUGGACUGUGUAACGAAUAUUUAUUGCCAUCAUUUUCAGAUGGAGUCCUUGUCCAAAGGGGAGCUUUUGCCUAAGGUUGUUGAAGCAUAUUCACGUCCAACAAGAAUUGUUCGCGGGAAGGAUUCCAAUGUUGAUGUGGAGGUGCCUCUUAUUCUAUACUCAGCAAAUUUCCUUCUGUAACAUAAAUCUUCUUUGUGAUUAUACUCCACUAUACCAGGUUCUGAACAUAUUCUGUUCCAUUAAUUUUCUUUUAUAGAAUAGCUAUGCAUGUAAGUUGCACCUGUAGCAAAAUGGCAUUCUUGAUACAAAAGUCAUUUUUGGUGUUAUCUAGAAGCUUUUCUCUUUGACAACUAGGAAAAAUUUGUUUCAAAUCUGCUCUGCUGGAUUGGUAAUACAAUUGUUAAUAUUGUCAAGCUCCAUGGACAUCUUACAAUGUGUAGCAAUGGGUUCCCUUUUUAGUCAAGAAUCAUGACUCUUCUUGCCAUUGGUGAUAGUUGGUAGAGUAUUGAGCAUAAAUUGAUCCUUUCUUUUUUAUUACCUCUCCGAAACACUCAAUUCUGCAACAUGAAUGAUUUAGUUGGCUGUCUAUUUGCAUUCGUUGUUCUUAUCUAGUAAAAACAUAUUUUCAUUAUGAAUUAGGUGGAUGAUCAAGCUUUUGAAACAAAUGAAGAGAAAGCUUUGUGGAACACUUACUUGUCACUAAAAAGUAAAAUACAUCCAGGUAUUGCCUCACCUCCAGAUGAAUAACCUUUCGUAAUAUAUUCAAAUAAAUGUAGCUGUCUGUUACAUUGAGGUUACAUUGUAAAUACAUACUUCUUCUGCUUCUUGUUUAUUGGUGGAUUGAGUUUUUCACCAAAAAAUUUACAAUUGAGCAUGCAUGUAUGACUACUGUUCAUUUGCAGACAUGGAAGUUGAUGAUUUUGUUGAAGCAUCAUCAGUACUUGUAGAACCGCUGGAGAAUUUUUUCAACGAGGUCUUUGUAAUGGUGGUAAGUUCCUCUGAUCUCAUUUUACUUCUUACAUGUGAAAACUUCAUAGUUCUGAAGCAUUGACUAGAUAAUCUUGAUUUCUGCGCAUCCAACAGAGUAUAGGCCUAUAGCUCUGCUUACCAUGGUUUUUCCCAUCUUAGAUGAAAUGCAUCGUAUAGAGUAUCAUGUUUUCUUUGUUAUGUUUAUUCUUCUUAGCUCCUAUGGAACGCCUUCCUGUCUUGGUGCUUGCAUCAAUGUGCUUUUUCUUUUCUAUUUCAGUUUCUCUCUGAUCUAAAAGAAGCAUAAAUCUACGCCUGCUGAUACAACUAUAGUGCAUACUUUGAACCUCCUAUUCUUAUGUUAAUUGUUCUUUAUGCAUACUGUAGGAAGACGAACGGGUAAGAACAAAUCGUCUUGCACUGCUGAAGAAAAUAGCAGACUUGCCAAGGGGAAUAGUAGAUCUCUCAGUUUUACCGGGAUUUUGAAGUAUGUACCAGUGUCCGCUUAGUUUGUGCCAUACUAUCAGCUGAGGCAUCAAAGAAGAACAGCUAUUGCCCAUUAGCGGAGGAGAAAACAGUAAACAGACUAAUUUUUUUUCCGCAGAGGGGAAGGGAUACGACCACAACAGAGCGAACUAGAGGAGAAACUGUUACACAAAUUUCGUAACGAUGUCACAAUUUUGACUGUUGUACAAGUGAAUGAAUAAAAUGAGCUAUCGCUUGUAUGCUCACAUUGUCUGAGGAAUAUAUUAUUUUGUUUCAAGUUAUUCAAGAAAUUCACCUUUGAUUGAAUGAAUAAAUGGCCUAAAAAAUAAGUACCAGUAACCUUCGUAAACUACUGUGGAAUUGGUAAACCAGAAAUAAUGCAAAUUACGUGUUAUAUUAGAACGUAACAUGGUAAAGAUAUAAUGAAAUAAUAUACAUAUUUUAUGGACUAUAAACUUCCUUUAAGUAAUAAUGUUUUAAAAUUGAACUUGUACUUUUAUUAGCCUAAAUUACAUAGGAAGUUAGGAACUAAGUGCCCAUUUGUAUUGACUUAAAAAAGUACUCCCUCUAUUUCUAUUUACUUGUCCACUUUUAAAUUGACACAAUUAUUAAGAAAACAAUGAUUGAUAUAGUAAGUUUACCGUUUUACUCCUAUUAAUUAUGAAGUGGAUGAAUUAAAAAUUUAAGAUUUUCAGGAAGUUUUACCUUUUUCAAAGUAACUAAUUGAGGGCAUAAUAGGUUAAAAAAUUAUUCUUUUCUUGAAUUGUCAAAAUGGACAAGUAAUUAGGGACAAUUAAAAAAAGAAAAUGGAUAAGUAAUUAGGGGCAAAGGGAGUAGAUUUUAAAAAGUGUCGGUUUGACCAAUUUGUGGUUUCUAACACAUAAGUUCUCUGGCGAUUAAAUUGUACAAAUUAUUAUACCAGACAUAACUUGUGUUAUAUUAUGGUAAGAAAAUAUUAACAAGAAUUUUCUCCUUACAUAGGAAUAUUUCCACAGAGAAGCAAUAAAAAAUCUCCGCCCACUUUUAAUUGUCAUACUUUUUCCUUUUUUUAAAGUAACUUUGACUAACAUUUUACUAUGUAUUUUUCAUCAUAUUGAUAUGCAAAAAAUUGGAAUUUAUAGUACUUUUUGUAUAGUUUUUGAAUAUCUAAAUAUGUGUUUAAAAUAUCAAAUUAAUGUAAUCUAAUUUAACUUUGAAAAUUAAUUAAAUUUACUUUCGAAAUGCACAAUUAAAAGUGGACGGAAAAAAGAGCAUGAUUAUAUUGUUCAAAAAUUGUGUAGUCAAAUAAAGAUGUGUUUGACCUUUGAAUUUGAUUACCUAAUGAGCGCCGAGAUACUCGUACGUAUUCGCAUAUUCUCUAUAUGUAAGGAUCUCGCAACGUCAUGCAUCCUUGUAUCGACAUCAAUGGAAAAGUCAAAAUGGGCCUAGGUUUUUCCACAUUGAGAUGUCCGAACCAAGGUGUGUUGUGAAGUUUAUAAGGAAAUUAAAUUGAGGUCUGUAUUCAGUACGAUUAUCAGCAAUGAAGAGCGGAGAGCAGUUGUAUUGUGAUGAUGAUGAUGAAGGAAAAAAAACUACAAAUGGAAAUUGUGAUGUAUUAGGAAGAAGAAGUAGUAGUUUAGAGAAUGAAAUUGAAGAAAUAGAAGAGGAACAGGGGACUAAUAAUGGUUAUAUUCCGGCAAGUGAGUUGUUUGAGAUUGAUAAUAGAAGAGGGUUAGCAAUAAUUAAAGAAGGUCAUGAAGUUGAAAGUAGUACUUUAUAUUCAUUUGAUUUCCAUAACAAUGGGAAUGUUGUUGUUUAUGUUGCUGUUGGGAAUAGUAGUAGUGCUAAUAAGAUUAGUAAGGAGACAAGUAUGGAUGCUCUUCUUUGGACACUCAAAAAUGUUGUGCUGGAUCCUCCUUCUACUAUUGUUUUCUUGAUUCAUAUCUAUCCUGAGACUAAGUACAUCCCUACUCCUUGUAAGCUCUCUCUUCUCUUUUUUUUCAGAUUGAUAUUUGAUACCAAUGAACAUAUGUAUAUUUGUAGUCUUGUCCUUCGAGUUUUGUUACUACCUGUUAUUUUGUUGUAGUUACUGUUCUGUUGCUUUUGUUACUAUCAGUUGAACCGAGGGUUUAUUGGAAACAAUCUCUCUACUUUUGAGGUAGGGGUAAGGUUUGUGUACACAUGAUUACCCUCCCCAUACUAUAAAUCACAUGCCCAAUCGAAUACACGAUACUGAAUGACCAGCAGGAUUUAUAUUCAGGAUCAGCUUGCUUGGGUUAAGGUCUGUUCAUGAUAUUUAACACCAGUAAAGAGUUAGCAUCAGUUAGUCCAGAAUCGCCUAGCUAGCUUGUUUCAUGCUUGAGAAACUGUUUUUGAUGUGUAAUCUACCCAGAGUAGUACUUCAAUAUUGAUCGAUUAAUUGUCGUUACUUGGUGGAUGAUGGUUACAACAGUGGGAUUGAUUCCAAUAGGUCAAGUGAGUGCAGAGCAAAAGGAGAACCACAUGGCUCAAGAAAGAGGCAAGAGGCGGCAGUUCCUUCAAAAGUAUUAUGAUGCAUGCGCUGCUACAAAGGUACACAUUAUUAUUGGCUACUCAUUCAACUAGCAUAGCAUACCUUCUUGUUACACAAAGAUAGCAUGAGGUUAACCAUGUAACAAAACACAUUCAACAAUAGGUUAAAGUCGAUACCAUACUUAUAGAGAGCGAUACAGAAGCAAAAGCCAUACUGGACCUUAUGCCCAUCUGCAACAUAAGAAGGCUGAUCUUGGGCACCUCUAAAGCCAAUCUCAAGUAUGAAAUCUCACUUAUAUUAUAGAAUGCACAGUCCUCAUUUCUGAAUCUUGUUAAUCUCAAUUCCUUUUGAUGGGUCUUAAGGAAACUAAAGUCGAGAAAAGGUAGUGGAACAGCGGAUCAGAUACUACUAAAUGCACCUGAAUUCUGUGAGGUUAAGAUAAUAUGUGAAGGCAAGGAAAUGGUUGAGCUGCAGAUGUUUGAAUCUCCUUCUCCCAAAGCCACUACUGGUAAUAGUCCAAAGCCAAUUCAGAAUCAUACCGAAGAUCAAAAUCAAGUCCAGAAUGGAUCCUUCGGAUGUGGAUGCUUUAAAGCCAGAGUCUUCAACAAUCUGCAUUAGCAUCAAACCCAAAAUUCAAGGUUGGAUGUCAAUUUCAAGUUGAAGGACUUAUCAUAUCAUACAUAUGCAUGAAAGUCGGUAACUAUAUAUUGUAUAUCGAGAAACAAUUAAUAUACACACCAUUGUUGAUAUGUUCAAAAAGAUGUAAAGUUCUCUUUUUUACCCUGAUUCAAUCAACUACGGAUCCUUAGUUCAGUCCUAGUGAGUAACUUUUAGUAUAGACAAUUGAUCACUCUUAUGAAAUGAUAGUUAUGUAAGUUAAUGAUCGCGCUGAGAAGUAAGGAGCUAAAGGCAUACAUGACUAGUAAGAAAGAAAUAUGGGUGUUUCUCCUUUCCUCAAAAGAGACAAAAGCAAAUUCUAUACAUACAAGGAGAAGGUAAAAGGCAGCAACUUCCUGUGGAUAAAAAAGGUAUAGCAACAGGUUUUUGCUGGUUGAUUUUUCAUCUUUGAGACCUGUGCAGAGAAUUAUCAGGAAUCUUGUAUCUCUGCUGUUAGGUGAUCAACUGCAACAAGUUUUUGCUGGUUGAUUUCUCAUAUAGUCGCUCAACUAAUAAUUAUAUUAUCUUAGAAAGUCGUCCUUCUUCUUAGUUUCAAUUUUCUUCAAAAAGAAAGUGUUUUCAGAGAUAAUAACUGAGUUGGACAUCCAAAGUGGAGUGACAUGUCCGAGUUGGAUUACCACAUCAGGUGUCAUAUCAGCACAAAGAAGGACCUGUUAAGUUGAAGGGCAUUUGUGAUCCUUGUGCUAACGAUAAGGGUAGUUUUGCUACCAACAUGAAACGAAGGGUAUAUGUGAUCCAAAUCCAAUAGUUUAAGGGUAAUUUUGGCCCUUUCCGUUCAUAAUAUUACAACCCUCCUUAAUUUGCAGCUAACGUAUGCAAACACUAUUUGCAAGUCUUUCUCUUGCAAACAGUACUGGCCUGUUCUUUAUAUACCACACUUUUCUUUUUAAUCAGUUCUAAAAAGAAUGUCAUCGUUCUAUAAUUAGAGGUAACUUAACUUUUAAAUUCCCCUUUUACUCUUAAUAAAAUGAUUUAUAGCUACAUAAACGUAUAAAGUUCGAUUUAGACCCUAGAUUUUAAAAGUUUUUGUUCUUUCUUACAUUGUGUGUCAAGUUAAACGGUGUAAUGUAAAUUGAGACGGAAGGAGUAGUUUCUUACUGUGGCCCUUAGGGGACACGUCGAUGAGCUAACAAAAUUAUUCACCAAAUACAAAUAUGUCUUCAAAUCAUGACACUUUGCUACAUUUCCUUUCCUAAUUGAAUCUUUGCUACUCAACUUAAGUUCCUUCCCCACCUCAGCAUACACCCACUGAGUAUCUUCCAUGUACUUUUCAAGCCAGCUUGGCACUCUUGCCACCGUGGCAUCACCUCGAUGUGCCAUGUCAUCAUCGUCAAUCACGAAUCCCGGAACUUUUGUUAUGGGAUCAUCAGAGUUGACUAUUCUUAGUACCUUUGUACCAUUUUUUUCCAAUUGAUACCUAAAGCUCUUGUUACCAACUCUAGGCCCUCCAAAUGAUAAAACUGUCACCAUAGGCAAGUUAUUAAAUUUUGUUGUUAUAUCAUAUGCUGUAAGUGUAGCUAAGGCUGCUCCAAGACUAUGUCCUGUAAUUGUUAUACUUAGAGAAUAUUCAUCACUAUAAUUAUUGAGAAUGCUGAUAAUUUCUUCUCUAAUUGUUUCUUGUAAACUUGGAAUAUGACCUUCAAUUUUCGUAGUGUACAUGCUCAAGAGUCCACUUUGUACCAUUGGUUCGCUAUUUUCAUCAGGUGACAUGUCAUCUGGUAAGCAAGUCAAUGUGGCACGUAAAUUUUCAAGCCACUCCGAACAAGUGGCAGUACCUCUAUAAGCAAUCACAAUGUCACGGCGACCUAGCCGGGUAAUUUCGUCCACGUCAUCGCAUACCGCCACGUAACCAAUCCAGCUGGAUUGCGGCGACUUCAAAUUGGGGAACUUCUCUAUCCACCGUGGCAUUUGAACAGCACACGUGGCAUACAAGUUUUUUACUACCUUGUACCCGCUCCGUCCUAGUCCGCACUGCAUCAGCAUCGAACGUUUCGGGUACCGACAAGUUGCAUACGUGGCUGAUGACGUGUCAAAGUCAAAGCAGCCAUAGGCUGCUUCUACAAACUCUCCAUACCUUAAGAUCUCCCCGCGAAGAUCCUCGUCUAGUGGAUCAAGCAAACCGUCCCAAUUCUUGAUUCCUUGAAACUCCAUCCACUUCUCUCCGAGUUUGUCUUUAUCGUUAAAAACAAGGCAAUGACUCGAAUCGGGGUGGCAGGAGUUACUAAUUUUGAUGAUCCGAUGAGUAGUAGUACUCAAAUUUAGAGUAGACGUGGAAUAGUACUGCCAAGUAUUAGGCAGUACUAUUCCAAAAUAUUUGUUGGUUAGAAAUAGUUGAUUUGGGCAGCGCAUUAUGUCGCAAUUUGCAGCGCUAGUUUGUAUACUUUAGUUGUACAUUUUGUAUACUAUAUAUACUUACAUUUUGCAUAAAUUUAUAGUUAAUGUAACUAUCACAAAAUUCCCUCCUUCCUCACCAAGCCAUAUUGACUCGAUUAAAUAAAAUUCAGUAUUUACAAUGACACAAGAUAUAGUUUUUUUGGGUAAAAUAAUAAAAAGUGGUUUUAACAAUACUAAAUAUUAAUAGUAAAAUAUCUUUAGUGCUAAAAGUGUAACGGUUAAACAUAUUUACUUUGAAUAUUUCUGGUUGUGCCCUCUUCCCCAAGCUAAAAGAGGAAAUUACGUUGUUAUGGGGGGAGAAUAUAUGUAUAUUAAUUUUUAAUUAAAGAGGACUAAUUGAUAGAGGGGAAUUGGGGGCGGACGGUGCAUUGAGUUUUAUGGGAUAAGUAUUAUCUGAUUAAAGUGUAAAUAGUGACUAAAAGAUGACGUUGGAUUUUUAAUAUUGAUGACGAAUAAGAAAAGGUGAAAAUCAAACUAAUGAAAGCAACAUGUCAAAAUAAUGAUAGGGCUUCAAGUCUUAGAAAUUCCUCUUUAAUAAAUUCGUAUAAAUUUAAAUUAAUCGAGCUAGUAAAUUUCAAACACCGCAUGAAUAUUAUUAUACACAAAGCAUAACUAAUAUUUUGAUAUAUAAUGGUGAAAGCCAUCAAUCAUUUGACAAGAAGGAUGAUAAAAUUAUCGAUAGAGAGAUAGGCAUAAGGUCCUUUUAUUAAAGAAAGAAUUCACAUCAAAACUUUGAUAAAGAACUCUAAAGAUUGUGUAAGAAUAUCCUUGAGGCUGCUAUUGUGGGUUAACUUAAUCUAUCUGACUCAUAGAAUGUUGACAUACAGGAAGGCGCAUCUAGGAUUUAAAAAUAUGUGUGUUUCUUCAAAAAUCUUGAAUUAAAAUAUAAUAAUAACAACUGAAUUCACAAUAUUUAAUGAAUUUCUCAACACAGGCAAAAUUUGAAGAAGAAUUAUUGAAUCCAUAGGUUACACUGUGCAUCCAUUCCUGCUUGCUUGUGUUUUAUUAUUUAAAAAAAUCUGUGACAUCAUUCAAGAUUAUCGUUAACUAGACGAAAAUAUGCUAAUUAUAUUCUCAUUUGACAAGUUCUGAAAGUGAAAAAAGCUCAAUUGGAUAAGUUAAAAGAUCAAUUAUUAUAUUAAAUAUCUUUAAUAUUCAUCUAAGUAUAUAUGGCGAUACGUAUUAUCCCUUCUAACCGAAAGGCGAAAGUUAAGAUGCUGAGUAUUUCAUAAUUAUUCUUCAAUCUUUGUUGUAGUACUAGUACUUAUGCUAAACUAAUUUGGAAUAUUGCUAAUUUCCUUUAUGUCUAAUCAUUCUACAUUUGGUCUUAAUAUGUAUUGAUUAGAGUUGACAUUGAGAAUCAUUCAAAUAUACUUCACAAGGUACCCUUCCUUCCAAACUCCACUUGUGAAAUUAUAGAGACUACAAGUAUCAUAUUUUUGCAAUAUUUUUGCAGAGUCACUAAACCACCUAAUUUGACGUGCAUGAAAUGAUAACUACAUAGUGCUAUUGUGGUGACAAAACAACUUCGUCGUUGCAUCGUUGCCACAAAUAUGUGAUGAAUAAAAUUGCUAGUGUCACUCCAAAAAAUCUACCUAAAGGAUGGUAUACCUAACCAAAAAGAUUCUAGCAGCAAACAAUCAAUUCAGAUAUUCACGACCAAGAAAUACUGGAUUCUCUUUCAUAUAGGCCCGGAAAGGAGAAGGAAGGUUGAGAUGCCAACAAACGCCUAUUAUAUUGAAUUUAUCUAAUAGUUCCCAUUUUGGGAACGUCCAGUGCAGGAAAACACAAUAAAUCACCAAUCCAAGACCGUAAAUAUACCUUAUCUGCAGGACAGUCAUACUUAUCUCUCCAGUCACAUCGACACAAUAAAACUUAUAGUGAAAGCACAGAUUGCCUCAGACUCGGUGAAGAGCUGGAACAAGACAGAAGUAAUUGUUUUGAAAAGUUUUUAAUAUAUAUUUUGUCUUGGAGAAAGAUAUCAUAGAAGGUACAGAAAUCUUACAAAUGAGAAAUUUAUCACUUCCAAUCAUGACACUCUGCGCAAUAAACAGUAGAUGCCGCCUAUCAGCCAACUUCCUUGAUUUCCCAAAUUAUGCCACUACUUAACCCUGCUUGACAUUGAUAUAUUAGAAUUGAUCAUGUCAGCAUACCGAUGAAUAAUGACAAGAAACAAUGGUUUUCUUUCCUUUCAGCUUUUUUUUUUUAAGGAUUGCAUAUCACGUCGCAUUACUAUUUUCUUUCUUAACCCACUGAGUGACUUGUUUUCUUGAACUUUGAGCAACUUGUUUUCUUGAAUUGUGCCCCUGGUGUUUCUUUGUGCCGGAGUUCCUUCCUCUACUGGUAUUAGGUUUGUUUGUGGAACCACUAGAAUUUGUUCUGGAGUUGACUGCCAUAUCUUUGUCUUGUUGCUCUUUUGCCUCCUCAGUGGAUGCUGUUGAGGGUAAUGCAGCAGGUUGUGGAAGAAAAAUACCUGGCCGCAACACUUCAUGCUUUUUGAUUUCAAUUAGGCCGCCCUUCUCUUGCUGGAGUUUCAGUAUUGCAUCAAAUUUCUCUCUUCUUAAUUUUUCCGAGUCUGAGGAAAGAAUCUUGUCCUCAUUGUUAACUUCAAACCUGCUGGAGGUCUGGAUUCAAACAGUGAGCAGAUAUCAACAGAUCUUCCAGACUACCUCAAAUGUAAAUAACAAAACAUUGUAACACCACAAAAAACAAACACUUUAUUUAGUACCCAGGGGCACUAACCAACUGUACUUUGUUUCAGCUCUAACAUAUCAGAUCUCCUAGUUUAUUUGUUCCAUAUUUAAUAGGCAAAGGUUUUACAGUUUGACUUCUCAAAGCUCAAUAUAGAAACUAAACGUGCAUAAACAGUCACUAGGAAAGAGUUUACAAGAGCCAUAAUCCACACAUAAAACUGACGCUGUGUAUACUGUCUCAUCCUCUUAACAUAUCAUCCUCAUUAUCAUCCCCAUAACCCAUAAGUGUGGUUACACAUAUGGAGACCUAUCAGCCUUUUAUUUCUAUCCUUGAACUUUUGUCUAUCGGCCCUCGUGCUCUAUCAGAGCUCCAACUGGCUACAGAGCACAAAAUCAUUCAGCACAAAAAUUCAAAUAGGGUCUUUCUUUUACAGAAAGGCAAGAAUAGAUAUUUCUAUAAUACUGCAGUAUUCAAAAAGUAUUGUGACCAUCAAAUACACCAACUUAUUACAGAUUGUGAUGCUACUGCAACACCGAUGUGUUACUUUUAUACAGUUAUUACAAGAGGAUUACAUUAUCAUCAACACUAUCAUUUCCCAGGAUCAGGAUGCAAUAAAUUCCUAUUUGCCGGCUCAAGGUCUCAGACAUUUUUACCAUUUAUUCAGCACUCUCAAAUAGAAGAAACCCAGACGUUUCAAAUUUUAGGAUGACAUAAUUGAACAAAAGCAUCAUGUUUAGCAGAGUGAAGCAAUUCACCUCGAAUGAGACUAUAUCUUUACUAUUAAAAAGCUAAAAAAAUCUUUCAUUAACCAAAAAUUGAUGGUGAAUUUAGAAAUCGACCUAUUGGAUUUCAAAUUGUAACAACUAGAGACUCAAAGUCAUGCUUAACUCCUCAAAUUAUUUUCUUUUCUGUUUCUCAAUUCUUUGGCAAAUGUUGUAUACAAACCCAUACCUUCUUACUCGCUCGCCAUUAAUUACCAACAAUUCCUACACAGUUUUAUAAAGAUCAAUACAAUAAGAAAAAGGAGGAUACGGAAACUAAUCAAUGAGCUAACACUUGGUUCUCAAAAAAGUCUUUCAUCAAAUAAAUAUUGGAGGAGGAGGUUGUUAAAGACGAAUAAUAAUCACAUCGGAUACAUAAGAACAUCCACAAGAGCUAUAAAGGCCUUAGGUAACUCCACCAAUAUGUUGACAUUCUAUAUUUCGAUGUUCAAAUACAUUCACAACAAGGAGUUUUAUACAAGACUUCGCUAUUCUUUUUGCUAGUGAGGAGUUUCCUUGCCCCACUAAGGGAGAAGAACUCAUUUUUGUUGAAAUCAGGAAUUUUCAUAUAUAGGAGCAGCUCGUACAAUAUUUCAGCAAAUCAAGGUAUUUCCCCUACCUAAAAAUUUGAGAAAAGAUAUGACUUAGACUAAUAAAUAAAUGAAGAUAUUUGUGCAACUUACCACAGCAUGCUGAGUCUUCACAAAGUCAAGCACAUGCUCAAUGUCCUUUGCAAGAAAAGAUUUGCGACAAACUGGGCACUUCCUCCUAGAUUCUUCUGUUGAAUCACACAUCACCAAGCAAGAUAAAUAAUGAGCUAUGGAAAUAGAAAUGUUGGAAUAUUAUGUCCACAAAAAGACACAUAGAUAAAAAUAAAAAUUCACCCUGGGUUCGUCCCCCAAAACCCCCAAAACCCCCAACUGUAAACUCAUCUGGAAUAUAUUUAAAAAUUAGAAACCUAAACAUAAAAAUAAAAAAUUCAGUGAUUUCUUUACCCGCUCCUCAAAAAAUGAGGGAUUUUAUGAUGAAACACAAAAAUAUUAAAUUACUCCUUAACAACCAAGCUUGCGAGCAAAAAGAAACACUUAGGAUAACCAAUGUGAGUGAUAUAGGAGCAAAAUAUGGAAGAUAAAUGGAAGGAAAUAAGCUGAAUCAUUGAAUCAUUGGUAUAUAGACAAAAGCAAGGCUCAAAUAAAAACCUCAACCUCUCUGCAGAAUGAAGAGACAGGGGACCUCUUAGCCCCUGGGUUAGUAGAUGCAGAGCCUCUUAAAACUAAAUGAUGCAAACACUUGUUCUAAUGAAGUGAAAGUGCUAUUACUCUUGCAACUAGACGGGGUAUGCAGAGAGUAUGUGAAUACAUGAAUUAUUUCUACAGAAUUUCAUUAGUCAAGUAAAUUGGAUAAAAAAGAUCAAGUCCCUGAGCAAAGUUGACACACACAUGGUUCAACAGUCAACACAAGUAAUUGGUUGGUCCCACACAACUUUUUUAUGCAUCUAUCAUCCUAUUUCUUUCUUUGCCUUCUUUCUUUUGUUGUGUGUGGAUGAAAACUAUCCUAAAGACCUUUGCUUCCCAAUAAAAUCCAGUUAACCUUUUCUAAAUCUAGUUGGAGCAGGAGAAUAAAAUGAAAGAGGAGUAUAUGCUAUAAAACAAUUCAAAUCCUAAGGCAUCAAUUUCAUUGCAACGGACCAUCCUGAUCCGUGAUACUUCCAGAAGAUGAAGCAGAACCAGAAGCUGUAGGGGCAUCAGAUUCUUUUAGUAGUUCAAGCCAAUUCCACCAUCUGAUGAUGCACUCACUGCACAGUAAGAAAAAUAAAUGAGUUUAAAGUUGCAACCACGCAUCUUUCAGCCAGCAGGCAAAGUAAUCAUAAUAAAAAGGUAUUAGCAACAAAAUUUACCAAUGAAAGCAAUGAAAACAAGACAUUAGUUUCAUAAAUGGCUCAGAGCUUCCUGAAUCUUCAGCAACUAACGGAUACAAGCACAACGGACACUCUCCAUCAGGGUGAUUCAUACUCGAAAGCCGCUCCACUGCUUCCUAGUGAUACAUUCAGAGCAUUAAAUUUCUGGAAAUUAAACCCACUUCUGAAAUUCUAACAAUUAUUUGGACCAUUUAGCAACACAUUGCCUUUGUUGUUAUAGCUCAUAAAUGUGAGUCCCUGAUGAAAUUCUUAUUCAUAAAAUCAAAAAUAGAAUUUUUAUUAGCAUAAAGCUAAAACAAAAUCCAGGAUCAAUCAAGCAUAUAAAUGACAGAUCUGUAUUUAAAAAAAACAUAUAAAUGACAGAUACUUAGCAUCUGGAACCUAAUAAACUUCAAUAUCUUUAUUGAAACUGAACCUUAUAAAUACUCUAUUCUACAUCUACUUUGCUCCUUUUUCUAUUAACGCUCUAAAUCGGCUGCAAAAAUAUCAGUGUGUUCUUUGAAUUCAUUUGACUGAGGACAAAAAGAUCCGAAGUAUAUUGUCAUAAAAAAAAAGAUCCGAAGUAUAUAGUUAUUCUUAUUCAUCAUAACGUGAGUUCUGAGAUUUUGGAUCUAUGUUUUAUUAAACGAGGAUAAUCUAACUAGGAUUGUCAUCGAUCACAGAACUGGAUCUCAACAGUGCAAUGGUUACCUCACAAAGUGCUACAAGCAUUAGACAUGAGGAAAGUUCACUGGCCCUUUCUGAAAUACAACUUAUCAAUUGUUUUUGCCUUUGCUCAUCAAGACCCUUGGAAUCAACAAUUCUAAUAGCAGGUGGCUCGUCAGGAUACUGCCAAAAUAAUUAUAUCAGUGCAGGAAAGAAAUAUGAAACCUGUCUAAUCACACAAGUAUGGCUAUUGCAUGAAGUAGUUAACCAAGAAACAAAAUGGGACACAAGUGUGUAUGGACUGCAGAAAGCUAUCAGAUGAAAAAAACAUAAAAUUUGAUGACAGAAAUACAGAUGAAUUAGACAACAAGGUCCAAAUGGCAAUCAUCACCCCCAAAAAGAAAUCACAGUGAUAGAUGUUCAAACUUGCAUAUUGUGGACAAUUUAGAAGAAGAGGAAUGCAAGAUGUUUUGAAGGCAAGAGCAGCUCAACCCAGAAAAUCAAGAGUACAGGCAUUUCUCUUUUUCAUCUUUUGGUGUAAAGAACAGUUUGUAGAAGAUGCAGGAUCAUGGAUGGACAUUUUUUUUAAUCAGGAAUGCUGAAUCAUUGAUCAACUUUUUUGACUCCUUGUAAGAAUUACAGGGGGGAUUGUACUAGUAAAUAUUAAAUCAGACCUUUUUGGGUGCUGAUGAUAUAACAUGUAACCGUUUUCAAAAGAGAGAGAGAGAUCACGGAGACAGAGUACCUUUGAACCAGCCUGGAUUCCUAUGAUUGCUUCCACAAACUGAAACACAGGAGAAAGUGAAAAUGAAACUAUUUUCUAUAGCAACAUACAACAUAAUCAAUAGGAAAAGUAACCAGGAAAUCAAAGAAAAAAAAGAAAAAAAAGAACUGUCAAGUAUAAUGCCACUUCAUCAGAUCCAUUGAAAUUAUCAGAAAACAUUGACAGCCUUAGGAAACACGAACUACUCUUAAACCAGUACUCUCUUCGUCACUGUGUUCAAAACGUGUAUCUCAUCUGUAUAGAAUAUUAUGCCUCCAUUAAUCUCUCUAUCAGACUCCGCCUCUGCAUUUUCUUACACUAUCCAAAUUGUGACUAAACAUGAAAAUUUUGCUAAUGAUUUAACCUUCCAAUCUAGGCAAUUCAUAAAGUAUUGUUGUCAAAGGCAUAUCUGUAACGAGCUGAAAUGGAAAGAUGGUCAGGUCAUAUAGCUGACUCCGUCUCUCUUUGGAUUGAAACAUAGUUGUUACUGUAGCGUUGUCAAAGACUUAUUUCAACCAUGUUAACCCUGAAGCUACUUGAUGCUCAAGAUGACCACUUUGCCUUGCUUAAACACACUUCAGCAUAGGUAUCAAGGUGUAAAGGUGUGCCCCAUUUCUAAGGGCUUCAUAUAAACAUUAAAAUUACAGGUAAAAAAAUAGAUUUGUAUUUAAUAAAAAGUAAAUUUAAAAUUUUAAUCUAAGAAACUAGUCACUUGACCAGAAUUAAGAACUCUUUUAGUAUCUAACCUUGUGUUGGUUUUUGAACUUAAUUACGUGCUUUUACUUCAUAAAUUUCACUUAAUUUCAGAUUUUUCAUUUACCUUGUUCUUAUAAUUGUUGUAUGUGUUCAGCAUUAUUUAUUCUGGAAUUAUAUUUUCUUUUUGUUCAUUUUUUUCUAAAUCCCUCUUUUAAUAGGGCUUUGCACUUAGACCAGCAAACUUUAGGCACUUUUCAAUGUUUUUUCAUCUUUGACAGUGCUGCAUAUGAGGUGUUCAAGUAUGCUUGCCUCCAUGCCGCAGCGGAAAAAAUAAAACAUUUUGGUAGGUGGUAACUACAUGUGGAGAAUAAAGUAGUCCUUGACUGAAUUCUGGCAUAUCCUCCUCUUCUUUUCCUUUUUUUUUGACAAGUUACAUUUCCUUUAUCCUCUCCCCUUUAUUUCCCCACAAUUAACGAUAUAUCUGGAUUACAUUGUGUUCCCACUUGACAUAUCAUUUCUUAUGAAGGUGACCGACGACAAAUUUGGAAGGAAUUCAAACUAAAUUUUGAAAGAAUAUGGAGGAGCAAUUUAAAGUUUAGGAGGUCCAAUGUUUAAAGAAACAGUUCCAAUGGAUGCACAGAAAUGAGAUAUAAACAUAACCUUAAAAGAAGUGAAACCAAUUGUAAGAGGUGAUGGAAUGAAGACCAAAAUUAAAUAGACUCAGAUAGCUGCCCCUUAAAAAAAUCGAUAGAAACAUAUUGAAAUUAAGACCAAUAACUGAUGACUAAUGAGAAAGCCAGUUUUAUUAAAUUUAUUGAUUUGUCACUUUUAACCGACGAUAAGUGAGGAUCAUCGCCUUAUAGGUGAAGCCAGUAGAAUUAAAGAAGUUUGAACUUCUAAUAAUGACGAGCAAACUGACCCAAACGGAAGGCGGUUGGUUCUUUGAAUCUCAGCUUUAAGGAGCUGAUAAAUAUUGGGGGUAUUGGGACAUUAAAAUUAGUUAUUUUAAGUGCAAAUCGAUUAUUUUGUACUGAAAUCAUAUUUGUUAUUUUUUCUUUUAAAUCUCUAAAAAUGUGUGUUUCACUUCAAUGAAGCUUGCACUUCAAUAAAUGCUUGUCGGUUCAAGACCCGUGGACCUUGUUGUGUUUUUAUGCUUCGCACUUUGGAGAAAACAUUGAUAUAUUAUACGGGAAACUAUACACGCAAUGACAAAUUAGCAAUCUGAAUUUAAAGGGCACUAGGGGCAUAUUACCAUCAAUGCACAAUGAUUGUAACCGAUACUUAAAGCUCUUAAAUUGCUACUCCACUACAAGUUUCCAAGGUGUUUGUAGCUUAAGUGGAAGAUAACUUAUUGUAUUUCCUAAUAUUUCAGAAUUAGCCCCAGGCCCCAUUCUUUGGGUUGUUAUGUAGCACUUUAUCCUUAUCUAGAAAGUAGCUAAAACAGAGUGAAGAGCAAGAUCCUCCUAUUAUAUUUUGGAGGUCUUUAUACUUUUCCCUGUCUUGAUGACAAAUGAUCUUUUCCCUUUUGUACUUCUUUUCAUUUUGAUGAUGAAUGGACUUUUUCCAUAUCAAAAAAAUUAUUUUCUCGUAUUUCUUUUUCCAUCAUACAUUUUUUUCCUUCUUUUAUAAAAUUCUGUUUUGGGAGCUUUUUGCUGCUCUAUUUGGGAGAUUCUACUUGAAGGAUCGGACUUGUAGUGUAACCACAAUGCAAGAAUGAUACACAGAAAUAGAGAGGUAGCAGUUUUCAAAUUGGGGUUUAUACACAUUCAGUUCUCUGCUCAAUAGCUAGUAGAUUUUAAGAUGUCAUUCUCCUAUCACAAUUACCAAAUUAGCGCCAGAUUCAUUAACAAAAAAAAACAAAAAAAAAAAACUUGCCCGCUGCCCCCAACUCCCAAUUCUCAUAACAAAAGUCCCAGGACACAACAAAAUUAUAUUGCAAGCAUUUCAGCACAAAGAUCAAUCAGCUGUUUGAAGAAUCGAAAUAAUUUUGGUUGGAAAGAGAAAGAACCUGUUGAGAAGAAUCAUCGGCAGUACGAGGCUUGAUAUGAAGAUGAAACGAAGGAGGAUAAGUUUGUAGGAGUAAGCAAUCAUCGCCGUAAACAGCUUGUAAUGCUUCUACUUCUCCCACUAUUUCUUCUUCUUCCGCCAUGUUUGGCUCUGUGGCAAAGGCGGUGGUGAGCGUUGCUAACUUUGUACACAAAAAUAUAUAUAUGGUGGAGCUCCUUUAACUAUACUUUAUGUUCAACAAAGACAAAUUUAGUCCAUAUUAAAUUAAUUUCAGUAUUUAACCCUUUAUUUUCAAGGAGCUACUUGUUAAAAAAAAAAAAAGGAGAAGGUUUUGUUUUGCUUUAUGGUAUUUUCGAACUUUUUUCAGAUAUUAAAAAACUUGCACGUAAUGAAGUAAAGAAAAUAGAGUUGAAAGUGGACUUUUCCAACGCUUUGUUCGGAUGGUUGUUGCGUAUUAUUUCAUUAUAUAUUGUGUUGUAUUAUAUUAUUUUAAUGAGCACAGUGUUUGGAUAGAUUGCAUCGUUUUUCAUCGUUGCAUAAUGUCACACAUUCAUAAUUUGAAUUAUAAACCUAGGGAAAAAAAGUAGGGUAUGGGAUAAAGUUAUUAUGAAAAGAUAGGAUAAAAGACGAAAUAUGAUUAUUGAAUAAUAAAGAUAAAAUGAGAAAAAAUUAUGAUAACGACACGAUCACACCAAAUCGGUCAUUACGAUAUUUUCAUCGUUAUCUAACAAUGAAUUUAAACAAUAUGAUACAAUAAAAUUUAAGUAACAAUCAAAAUAAACAUUGUAUUUAAACUAACAAUACAAUACAAUAAGUAAUAACCAUCCAAAAAAAAGUGUUAAUUUCCUAAAACUAUUUUACUAAAAAUCUCUCUAUAAACUCUUCUCCUCAUUCUUUACAUUCAUUCUUGUUGAGAAGAAAGAAAAAUAAAAUUGAGGCAUGAAAAAUUCCUUGAGGUCGAGCGUUCUAGUCCAACGAUUCUGCAUUUCUGUUAUAGUCUACACUUGUCUGUCCAAAUGAUCAACCUUGCCAUCAAGUUGGAUUACUCGAUCUUUGAGUGUAUCCUUAACAACAGUCGUUGUUGAGUAUUUUCUUAACUACAGUUGUCGCUGACAACACUUCACUGCUACCGUCAUGUACAUGGUACAACAAGAAGAGAAUUAGCAGAAAUCGAAAGAUUUUAUUCAACUAGCCUCAUAAUUAUAUUUUUUACUCCAACCACAUAUUAAUUUUACAUAGUAUAAGGACAAAUUUGACAAUUCUCACCGUUUAGAACAUAUAAUUUUCAUGCCUACGGUAUUUAAUAUUCAAAAUUAUUCACGUGGUAAUUGAAAUUGGUAUAAUUACUAGGAUAGUAAGUACCAGUCUAGUAAUUAUACAAUCUACUAAUUACACUAUAUGUUUGUUUGUCACAGUGUAAUUACACAUGUACUGUUUGGUUGAACAAGUGUAAUCAUAAGGUUAUAUUGAAUUUUAAAAAUAAAAAUUAAUUAUUUAAAAUUAAAAAAUUAUAUUAGACAAAUAAAGGCCUUUAUAAAUUAUAUUAAAUUGAAUAUUUAAGAUAUAUAUAGUCAUUUGAAAAUAUAUUAAUCAAUAAACAUAUGAUAUUAACUAAUAUUAUAAAACAUAAUUAAUUUAGUAUAUUUUAAUUAAAUUAAUUAUAAAAAACUAACAAUACAGAAUUUCUGUGAAUAUCAUGAAAUGCAUGUUUGACAAAAAAAAUUAAUAUUAUAUAUAUAAUGUCAUAAAAUUAUAAAACAUUUGACAAAAAAUAUAAUCUAUCAAGUCUAGCUUUUUUUUUAAAAAGUAGUAGUUUGCAAUGUAAAAUAUCGAGUCAAUACUCUUACAACAAAUGAAGUUGAAAAUAUAACAUAAGUUCUAAAUUCAAAACAAAAAAUUUAACAUAACAUACAUGAAUAUGACUUAAAAGAAAAGGAAAACGUAAGUCCGUAACUUUACUCAAAAAUGAAUUCUACUUUAAUUUAAAAAUUAAAAUACUACCAAAAUUAUAUUAAUGAUUUGUUUUAGAUAAUAGAAUCACACGAAGUAAAGGUUAAGAAUAAGAAGGAAAUGAAAUAUAAAAAAUAUAUAUUUUUAGAAAAUAUUAGAACAAUAAAAAUAAAAAAGAAUUUCAAUCAAUAAAAAUAAAAAUACAUUAAAACGAAAAAAUAAAAAUAGAAAUUUAAGGAAGAAAUUAAAAAAUAAUUAGCUUGAAAUUACCAGCAAUUCACAGCCUCCCCUGUGAAUUGGAGAGUGUAAUUACACCCUGCCAAUUACAUUCAAUUAUCUAUUGACAAUGUAAUUACACGACCAACCAAACAAGACAUACACUCAAUUACACUAAAAUCCAAUUACUAGGAUGACUUUCCAAAUAGGCCCAUAGGUCCUACUUCCAUAAUUAUUCAAAUCAUAGUGUGGAUAUUUUACCAUUCUCAAUAAAAGAUUAUUCAAUACAUGAUACAAAGGCUCUUAGGGGGCUUGUAUUUGUUACAUAAUUACAAUUAUUUUACCAUUUACGUAGAUAGUACAAUCAUGUAGUUAUUGAAGAUGUACAUGAAUGUCCAAAACACAAAAUAAGAAAAAUGUACAACAUGCAAGACUUUCACCCAAAGAAAGAAAAUAAAAAUGGGCAAAAGAAGUAGCAGCAUCUAUGUACACAGCUCAUUUAUCCUUUCUGCAGCUUCCGUAGGUGCUCAAACUCUUUCAGUUGUGUCUUUAGAAGUGUAUGCUCCUGCUGCAUUUUGCCAAGCAGUGUUUCGACCAUAAACAUCUCAUCUUUUAGAUGAUUAAUCUUUUUAUCCAGAAAACCUAGUAUAUCAACACCCGUCUCUCCUAGACGAUACAUGCUACUUGCAGAGUCCCCUUGAGAUAUCACUUGGACGUGCUGUGGUCUACC